UAUCUUCAGCUUGCAUCCAGCCAUUUCAUUCCUCCGAGGUCCUCCCAACGACUUCCCUCAUCUCAGCUGUGAGCAACAUCCCUUGCAUCCGAGAAUCAAGCCAACUUCUUCAACCUCCCUCCAUUCACAUUAUCCCUCACACCCGUGAGCUUCAUCCACAUCGUACCCAACCUCGAGUUCAUCCGGUCUCCUUCUCAGCCGAAUGCAGCCACCCCCUGCGGACUCAAACCAACUCACAGCAUCCCCUGAUUCCCAAUCGGAUGAACAUCCCAAACCACUUCUCCCAGCCGAAUCCAAAAAAAUAGAAUCUCCCACGUAUUCCUAUUCUUCCGCUAGAUCCCAGUCAAGAUAAGCCUUCCAGAUUUCCUAUCAUCCUUAUCCCAAAGCCGGGAUCCAUUCCAUUGCGACAGAUUCCUCCCAGCAUCCUCUUCCUUCGGAAUAGAGUCCAGCCAUAUCUCUCUUAUCCAUGGACAAGUUCAUGCAUUUCUUUUCCCUGCUUUGAAACAGAGUAUUAUCUUUAUCUUCUUCCGGUUUCACGGCAUUCCUCCCGUCUGGAUAGACUUCAUCGCCCAUGAAUCCAACCCGUCCCAGCUCCCCUGUUCCGAGUUCAUUCUUAUCCGUGGAUCCAAUCUUAACUUCCAACCAUCUGCCUCUUCCCAUGCGCCCAAUCCUCUUCGUAAAUCAAGCAUCCAGCAUCUUCUUCCCAACGUCCAGAUUGGAUAUUGCAAUCAUCCGGAUCAGAUCAAGCCUCCACGAGUUUAUCUUCCCAUUCAGAUCAGCAUAGAGGAAGAAAGAGAGGGGAUGCCGAGUCUAUAAAAGGAGGAGAGUUCUCCUUGGGGAUUAAUUCCUCCUUUUCCCCACCGGGAGAAGAGAAGCUUGGGGGUUCGGUUCCACAUCAUCUCUCACAGGCCAAGUUCCCAAGGGAAGAAGAGGAAAGGGAGAGAAGAGUUUGGGUACUUUGGGAAUGAUUUCCCAAAGGAAAAGACGAUGAUUUGUUGAGAGGGAGCCGACGGGAGGAAGGAGCCAAUCAUCAUGAAGUCCCCCUGCA
RNAcentral lists this long non-coding RNA (1048 nucleotides) under Phoenix dactylifera (date palm). RNAcentral describes it as "long non-coding RNA (PDAC_LNC015000)". The record is from RNAcentral. Lineage: Eukaryota; Viridiplantae; Streptophyta; Magnoliopsida; Arecales; Arecaceae.